GAUGAAGAACGCAGCGAAAUGCGAUAAGUAGUGUGAAUUGCAGAAUUCAGUGAAUCAUCGAAUCUUUGAACGCACAUUGCGCCCCUUGGUAUUCCAUGGGGCAUGCCUGUUCGAGCGUCAUUUGUACCUUCAAGCCUUGCUUGGUGUUGGGUGUUUGUCUCGCCUCUGCGCGCAGACUCGCCUCAAAACAAUUGGCAGCCGGCGUAUUGAUUUCGGAGCGCAGUACAUCUCGCGCUUUGCACUCAGAACGACGACGUCCAAAAGUACAUUUUUACACUCUUGACCUCGGAUCAGGUAGGGAUACCCGCUGAACUUAAGCAUAUCAAUAAGCGGAGA
Molecule: unclassified non-coding RNA, 336 nt
Filed under: soil metagenome
Description: partial contains 5.8S ribosomal RNA, internal transcribed spacer 2, and large subunit ribosomal RNA
Rfam family: 5.8S ribosomal RNA (bases 1-120)
Source: RNAcentral